GUAGCAUAACCUGGUUUUGCCAGAGAUCUAAGCCCUUUCCAUAGAAGUUCAAAUCUUCUCUUUAGCU
This 67-nucleotide transfer RNA is filed under the name Colostethus panamansis. Its description in RNAcentral is "tRNA-Leu". Lineage: Eukaryota; Metazoa; Chordata; Amphibia; Anura; Dendrobatidae. The record is from RNAcentral.